UUGCUAGAUACCGUUUUGGACCGC
RNAcentral lists this non-coding RNA (24 nucleotides) under Arabidopsis thaliana (thale cress). The record is from RNAcentral. Lineage: Eukaryota; Viridiplantae; Streptophyta; Magnoliopsida; Brassicales; Brassicaceae.